GGUCCGGCAGCUCAAUCGUCAGAGCACCUGCCUUAUACGCAGCCGGCUAUUGUUCAAAUCCAAUCCGGACUA
RNAcentral lists this transfer RNA (72 nucleotides) under Chitinophaga sp. OAE865. RNAcentral describes it as "tRNA-Ile". It matches the Rfam family "tRNA". Rfam says of the family: Transfer RNA (tRNA) molecules are approximately 80 nucleotides in length. Their secondary structure includes four short double-helical elements and three loops (D, anti-codon, and T loops). Lineage: Bacteria; Pseudomonadati; Bacteroidota; Chitinophagia; Chitinophagales; Chitinophagaceae. The record is from RNAcentral.